CGUCGAGAUAACGCGGUUAUCGCGGGCGAUUUUUCAACGAACAAACUCGGUCGUUACGUAACGUUUUCGGAAGUAACGUAUUAAAUAUUGCGCGAUUAUAUAGUUAUAUCCGCGUAUACGUGUGAUGCCGGUGGAGUUAUGUCAAGCAUCGAGGGAGCUAACAACCCGAGAGGACAGCCUGAGAGGAGGAGGAGGCCUGGGAGAGGCAUCGGGCGCCAGCGGAACAACAUUGUGAAGAUAACGACGCGGAAAGUGUCGCGUCGAAAGAGCUGACAACCCGAAAUGACAGCCUGAGAGGAGGAGGAGGCCUGGGAGAGGCAUCGGGCACUAGCGGAACAACUUUGCGUAUCAACGUAGCUACGUGGCAGAUAUAAUUCCGCUAUUGCGCAUCGGUGUCGGUGAGUGAUGAAUUAAUAUAUUUAUUGAGGUAACGGAUGUAUGGUAACUUAUCAAAUAUACAUACUAUAUAUCUAGAUAAAGGUAUGAAAUUUGUUAACAAUAUAAAGAUCUUACACAUAAGUAUAUAGCAUUCUAUACAUCCGUUGCCUUGAAAUGGAUCAGUUACAACAGAUUAGGAUAAGUUUAAUUCUGGACGUUUCUUUAUUAUUAUAUUUAUUAUGGAUAAUUUAUUAAUUUAGUGUGCACACGAGAAUGUACUCGUAUGCAUACGAUGUGUAUAAAUUAAGAUAGAA
Temnothorax curvispinosus is the source of this 692-nucleotide long non-coding RNA. RefSeq lists it as uncharacterized. The transcript has 3 exons. Lineage: Eukaryota; Metazoa; Arthropoda; Insecta; Hymenoptera; Formicidae. The record is from RefSeq and is a predicted model, not a curated record.